GGACAAAACAAGUUUCCUAUACCACAACUGGAAGGAUAGAGAAAUGGUUAGCAUGGGACCUGUGCAAGGAUAACAUACAGAUCCCUGAAUCAUCCCCUAGUUUU
This is a small nuclear RNA of Rattus rattus (black rat), 104 nucleotides long. Lineage: Eukaryota; Metazoa; Chordata; Mammalia; Rodentia; Muridae. The record is from RefSeq and is a predicted model, not a curated record.